RNAcentral lists this ribosomal RNA (253 nucleotides) under uncultured bacterium. RNAcentral describes it as "partial 16S ribosomal RNA". It matches the Rfam family "Bacterial small subunit ribosomal RNA", at positions 524 to 776 of the family's 1533-position model. The record is from RNAcentral.
UACAGGGGGUGCAAACGUUGCUCGGAAUUAUUGGGCGUAAAGCGCGCGUAGGCGGCUACCUAAGUCGGAUGUGAAAGCCCCAGGCUCAACCUGGGAACUGCGUCUGAUACUGGAUGGCUUGAAUCCGGGAGAGGGAUGCAGAAUUCCAGGUGUAGCGGUGAAAUGCGUAGAUAUCUGGAGGAAUACCGGUGGCGAAGGCGGCAUCCUGGACCGGCAUUGACGCUGAGGAGCGAAAGCUAGGGGAGCAAACGGG